RNAcentral lists this ribosomal RNA (1777 nucleotides) under Escherichia coli. RNAcentral's name for it is "partial 23S ribosomal RNA". It matches the Rfam family "Bacterial large subunit ribosomal RNA", at positions 881 to 2640 of the family's 2925-position model. The record is from RNAcentral. Lineage: Bacteria; Pseudomonadati; Pseudomonadota; Gammaproteobacteria; Enterobacterales; Enterobacteriaceae.
CUCGUGAAUUCAUCUCCGGGGGUAGAGCACUGUUUCGGCAAGGGGGUCAUCCCGACUUACCAACCCGAUGCAAACUGCGAAUACCGGAGAAUGUUAUCACGGGAGACACACGGCGGGUGCUAACGUCCGUCGUGAAGAGGGAAACAACCCAGACCGCCAGCUAAGGUCCCAAAGUCAUGGUUAAGUGGGAAACGAUGUGGGAAGGCCCAGACAGCCAGGAUGUUGGCUUAGAAGCAGCCAUCAUUUAAAGAAAGCGUAAUAGCUCACUGGUCGAGUCGGCCUGCGCGGAAGAUGUAACGGGGCUAAACCAUGCACCGAAGCUGCGGCAGCGACGCUGAUGCGUUGUUGGGUAGGGGAGCGUUCUGUAAGCCUGCGAAGGUGUGCUGUGAGGCAUGCUGGAGGUAUCAGAAGUGCGAAUGCUGACAUAAGUAACGAUAAAGCGGGUGAAAAGCCCGCUCGCCGGAAGACCAAGGGUUCCUGUCCAACGUUAAUCGGGGCAGGGUGAGUCGACCCCUAAGGCGAGGCCGAAAGGCGUAGUCGAUGGGAAACAGGUUAAUAUUCCUGUACUUGGUGUUACUGCGAAGGGGGGACGGAGAAGGCUAUGUUGGCCGGGCGACGGUUGUCCCGGUUUAAGCGUGUAGGCUGGUUUUCCAGGCAAAUCCGGAAAAUCAAGGCUGAGGCGUGAUGACGAGGCACUACGGUGCUGAAGCAACAAAUGCCCUGCUUCCAGGAAAAGCCUCUAAGCAUCAGGUAACAUCAAAUCGUACCCCAAACCGACACAGGUGGUCAGGUAGAGAAUACCAAGGCGCUUGAGAGAACUCGGGUGAAGGAACUAGGCAAAAUGGUGCCGUAACUUCGGGAGAAGGCACGCUGAUAUGUAGGUGAAGUCCCUCGCGGAUGGAGCUGAAAUCAGUCGAAGAUACCAGCUGGCUGCAACUGUUUAUUAAAAACACAGCACUGUGCAAACACGAAAGUGGACGUAUACGGUGUGACGCCUGCCCGGUGCCGGAAGGUUAAUUGAUGGGGUUAGCGCAAGCGAAGCUCUUGAUCGAAGCCCCGGUAAACGGCGGCCGUAACUAUAACGGUCCUAAGGUAGCGAAAUUCCUUGUCGGGUAAGUUCCGACCUGCACGAAUGGCGUAAUGAUGGCCAGGCUGUCUCCACCCGAGACUCAGUGAAAUUGAACUCGCUGUGAAGAUGCAGUGUACCCGCGGCAAGACGGAAAGACCCCGUGAACCUUUACUAUAGCUUGACACUGAACAUUGAGCCUUGAUGUGUAGGAUAGGUGGGAGGCUUUGAAGUGUGGACGCCAGUCUGCAUGGAGCCGACCUUGAAAUACCACCCUUUAAUGUUUGAUGUUCUAACGUUGACCCGUAAUCCGGGUUGCGGACAGUGUCUGGUGGGUAGUUUGACUGGGGCGGUCUCCUCCUAAAGAGUAACGGAGGAGCACGAAGGUUGGCUAAUCCUGGUCGGACAUCAGGAGGUUAGUGCAAUGGCAUAAGCCAGCUUGACUGCGAGCGUGACGGCGCGAGCAGGUGCGAAAGCAGGUCAUAGUGAUCCGGUGGUUCUGAAUGGAAGGGCCAUCGCUCAACGGAUAAAAGGUACUCCGGGGAUAACAGGCUGAUACCGCCCAAGAGUUCAUAUCGACGGCGGUGUUUGGCACCUCGAUGUCGGCUCAUCACAUCCUGGGGCUGAAGUAGGUCCCAAGGGUAUGGCUGUUCGCCAUUUAAAGUGGUACGCGAGCUGGGUUUAGAACGUCGUGAGACAGUUCGGUCCCUA